Long non-coding RNA from Ornithodoros turicata, 501 nucleotides. RefSeq lists it as uncharacterized. The transcript is spliced from 3 exons. The record is from RefSeq and is a predicted model, not a curated record. Lineage: Eukaryota; Metazoa; Arthropoda; Arachnida; Ixodida; Argasidae.
GACCGGAGGACUCGUCUACUGUAUAUAAAGCAUCGCUCUAGCACGUGUACUUCCAUAUUGCAGCUGUGCCUUUGUCUCAACUCCAGCAAGAUGCAGAAAUACGCUGCCGUUCUCGCCUUGGUCCUUGUGCUGGUCCUCACCCUAUCCGUCGUUGAUGCUCAAUUCGGCUUCGGACGUGGAUUUGGCCGAGGAUUUGGUGGUGGAUUCGGACGUGGAUUUGGUGGUGGCUUCGGGCGAGGAUUCGGUGGUGGUUUCGGACGAGGAUUCGGCCGUGGAUUUGGACGUGGAUUCGGCGGUUUUGGCCGAGGAUUUUACGGCUAAAGUAUGAACAACAAGCUCGUACAUUUCAUGAUACGAAACCAACGGCAGGAAGCUUUGUGAAGAAUGUUAUCCUAUCGACACAUUAAACACGAUUAACAAGAAAAGAGGAAGUAUUUGAGUGUUUGAGAACUGGAGAAGUGUUCGAGUGUAAAUAACUUGAAUAAACGCACUUUUAGCGAA